AUGCAGGAAGCUGAAAAUGCAAAACAGAGUAAGCA
This 35-nucleotide non-coding RNA is filed under the name unclassified sequences. Its description in RNAcentral is "DUF805b RNA". It matches the Rfam family "DUF805b RNA". Rfam says of the family: Bacteroidetes, Chlorobi (1 example), Proteobacteria. Lineage (Flavobacteria) The record is from RNAcentral.